CCUACGGGAGGCAGCAGUGAGGAAUAUUGGUCAAUGGACGAGAGUCUGAACCAGCCAAGUAGCGUGAAGGAUGACUGCCCUAUGGGUUGUAAACUUCUUUUAUAAAGGAAUAAAACGAGGCACGUGUGCCUUUUUGCAUGUACUUUAUGAAUAAGGAUCGGCUAACUCCGUGCCAGCAGCCGCGGUAAUACGGAGGAUCCGAGCGUUAUCCGGAUUUAUUGGGUUUAAAGGGAGCGUAGAUGGGUGGGUAAGUCAGUUGUGAAAGUUUGCGGCUCAACCGUAAAAUUGCAAUUGAUACUGGCAGUCUUGAGUACAGUUGAGGUAGGCGGAAUUCGUGGUGUAGCGGUGAAAUGCUUAGAUAUCACGAAGAACCCCGAUUGCGAAGGCAGCUUACUAAACUGUGACUGACAUUGAUGCUCGAAAGUGUGGGUAGCAAACAGGAUUAGAUACCCCAGUAGUC
This 460-nucleotide ribosomal RNA is filed under the name uncultured bacterium. Its description in RNAcentral is "partial 16S ribosomal RNA". It matches the Rfam family "Bacterial small subunit ribosomal RNA", at positions 338 to 795 of the family's 1533-position model. The record is from RNAcentral.